Non-coding RNA from Parelaphostrongylus tenuis, 71 nucleotides. Lineage: Eukaryota; Metazoa; Nematoda; Chromadorea; Rhabditida; Metastrongylidae. The record is from the annotation of a GenBank genome assembly.
GCCUUGGUGGUGUAGUGGUAGCACACAAUCCCCGUGUUGAUGAGACUCGGGUUCAACUUCCGACUGAGGCU